This is a long non-coding RNA of Pongo pygmaeus (Bornean orangutan), 7161 nucleotides long. RefSeq lists it as uncharacterized. NCBI's taxonomy places the organism in Eukaryota, Metazoa, Chordata, Mammalia, Primates, Hominidae. The record is from RefSeq and is a predicted model, not a curated record. The transcript has 3 exons.
ACAUCACCUUGGUUCUGGGCCCAGCAAUAUAUCACAAUACCCCCUAAGAGGAGAUGACAGACAGGAGAGACACAUCACCUAGGUCAGAGGAGCAGAGCUAUAUGGUAAUGCACUGUGUGUUUGGGCCCAAAAAUGGAGGAGAGUUACAUCACCUGAAGACUGUACCCAGCUAUAAGUCACAAUGACCCCUGUGGGCAGCACCCAGGCAUGAGAGGAGAGUACCAUCAUGUAGGUGCUGUGCCAGGCUGUAUUUCACCAUCUCCACUAUGGAUAGGUUUCAGGGAGAAAAGGAGCAUCACAUCAUCUAGUUGAUGGGUCUAGAGAUACGUCAAAAUGACCCCUCUGAAGAGACAAGGAUGCAGAAUCACAUGAUCUUUGUGCUGGGCCUUGGAAUAACUCACUGUCCCUUCUGCAAACAUGGCCAAGGCAGAAGAUGAGGGUCACAUCUUUAAGGUGAUGAACGUGGAAAUAUUUCACAAGGAUCCCUGUAGGCAAGAACCAGGCAGGAGAUUCCCUUCCCUCAGGUUUUUGGACCAGGAAUAUGUCACAAUGUGGGGCUCAAGCAAAAAACAAAAGAAACAUCACCUAUUUUCUGGGCACAGAAUUAUGUCACAAUCUCUCCUAUGGGCAAAGUCUUGGUUAAAAAAGAAGAGUCUUGUCAAAUAUUUGAUGGGCUCAGAGAUAUGUCACAAUGCCAUAUGGUACAAAUUGCUGUAGGCAGGGUUCAGACAGUAGACUCACUUUGGUGUUGGGCCCAAUAAUGUGUCACAGUGCUUUCCACUUGCAGGGCAAAGUCAAAAGAAUAAUGUCACCUAGGAGGUGGACUAACCAAUGUAUCACAAUCUCCUUCCAAACAAAUCCUAAAAAGCAAAAGUGUAACAUAGCUAGGUGCUGGGCACAGUGAUAUGUCACAACCCCUUCUUUAAGCAGGGACUAGGCAGGAGAAGAGAAUCACACCACAUGGGUGAUGGGCACAUAGAUAUUUCACAAUGUCCCCUUGGGCAAAGCUCAGGAAGGAGAGGUAGAUUAUCUAGGUUUUGGACGCAGCAAUAUGUCACAAUGGCCAUUGUGGACAGGGCACCAGCAGAAGAGUCACAUAACCUGGAUGUGGGGCCCAGCAAUACAUCACAAUGCCCCUGUGGGUAGCACUAAUGCAAGAGAGAAAACUUACAUUACCUAGGUGCAAGGCCAAGUGAUAUGUCCCAAUGUCCCCUGUGGGCAGCACCAAGGCAGGAGAUAAGAGUCAAAUCACCUAGGUGCUGGCUUCAGUGAUAUAUCAGAAUCCCAUCUGUGAAAUGGGCACAGGAAACAGAGCUAAAACACUCAGGAGCUGGGCAGAGAUGUAUGUCACAAUCCCACCUGCAGAAAGUGACAAGAAUGAGAUGAGCAACUCCACAUGUCCAGAUGCCAGGUUCAUCUAGCCAAAAGCUGUUCCAAUUUUUAAAUAUACAUCCCAGGGGUGUUUCAGUGACAGUAGAGGAAGCGGCUCCCACAGUGCCGAGAGAAUCCUGCAAAGACAGAACAUGUACUGAAGUCCAGGAGGCCAUGGGCAUCCGCAUGAGCCAAGUGGAAACACCACGGUGUCCAGUGCGUCCCCUCGAAACCCCAUUAACUGAAGCUCUAGGAGGUCGUAGGCAUUUGCCAUACACCGUCCUAGCUCUCACCAGGGCUGAACAUCUCCAGCCCUACCUAGAUGACCCCCACUGCUGGCUGGGGGGCAGAUGUCUGGCCGACAAGCCUUUCCCUAAUUCACUGGUUUGCCAUUUAUGAAGCCCAAUUAUAACACCUGCAAUGCUGAGAUGCAAUCCCUAUGACUGGGCGUCUACAUGACUGUGAAUCUUUUGUUCAGCAAAGAAAAUCUGUUGAAGAACAAUUACAAGGAGCUGGGAAAUGCAUAAAGCCUGAAGGGACAGGAUUCUGUUAAUGUGCUGCUCAAAACAAAACAAAAAUUUUGUAAACAGAAAACCUGACCAGAAAAUAAAUUAUAAUAGCCACUAGGUGGCGAUCGAGUAUUGCUGAACGGACAGCAAACGAUAAGCUGUGUCUGAAGUGUGGCCAGAAAGAUGUGAAACUAAGCAGGGAAGUAGCCCGAAUAUGAAAUGUUGAGAGCAACACAUGUGGUUAGUUAGUUAUGGAUAGUACAGAAGCAGCAGCCAAAAGGAGAGAGGACAUAUAUUCUCUCUCUAAAGAAUAUAGGUGACUUAAACACAUUUCCCCAGAACUUUAGUGAAACAGCGCUGGAACAACCAGCGAUAGUUAAGCAGGUAGUCUGGAAGUGUCAUAGUAUUCACUGCAAGUAAGGGGAAACUGAAAUUAAUGAAUCGGACAAACCUCUCUCCGGGCCAUGGCACCAGAAAUGUUGACGGCUGAUGUAAUACCUUGGUUCCUAUCUUCUUGGUUUAAAACAAUUUAAACAAGAAACACACAGCAAAAGAAGUACAGCAUAGAGUAAUUUAUUUCACAAAAAAAGAAAAGAAUAUUUUGAAAAUUAAGUGCAGAAUAGACGGUACAGUUUGAGAAAGAGAUUCCAGGGCAGCCUGCUCAUAAGAGUGAGACAGCAUUAAUUGUUGCUGGAGAAACCCUCCUUGUGGGAGUUUUACAUGAUCAUUCAUAAGAAGGUGGAAAGAAGUGUUACAGUAAGCAUGUUUUGAGUGGUCUUCUGGGUGCACAUGUGCAGUAGCUGUACAUAUUUGUGCAUACAUUGUCUGUCUCAUUAGCAUCUUAAAUCUCCACCCAGGAAUGUAUUUUUUACUAUUAAAAUGAGCAUAGGGUCAGCUUGAGGACAGAUAAAAUCAAAAUGCACACGCUCUCUAGAAGUUAAAAUCUCUACUGAAGAUAGCGGGUUUCAAAUGACCCCAAGUGCUCCACAUCUUAAAAGUCGCUCCCACAAAGCUGGAACACUAUCUGUUCCUGAGGGAUCAGGUCCCAUCUGUGUCUCUGAGACACUGGCAAGUCAGGCGUGACUUGAGAUGAGACCGAUGAUUUCAAGCGUAAAAUGCCUAAAUAGUCGGCAGCUUCAGGUUGCAUUUUGGAGGUUGUCCACUUAAAUGGAUUGACGAAAAUGACUUAGAAGACUCACGCCUCAGAAAUGGGGUUUUCUCCUUUGCUCUUAGCAGAUUUUGUGCAACCCAAUAAUUAACCUUCCUGAUGCCGCGACUUUCACAUUCGUGAAAAAGGCGCCAUUGAGAGUGACACUCCCAGGAAGCCACAGCUUUUAUCACUCCCUGCAGAGCUCUGAUGUUUAUAAGCAGGCCAGGUGGAAGAUUUCUCUAAAAAGCUGUUGAGCACUUGCUCUGGCUAGAGCAAAAAGAGGGCUGCGGCACAACAGAUAGUGUCUCGGACAUCAGGACAGUUUCCACAGCAGUUUAGGAGAGAAGGCAGCGCCCUGGGCUGCAGAAGACGCAAUGCUCUGGAAAGAACCCUGGGUGCAGCUGAAAGAGGAACCUGAGAAGGAUAGGGCCAAUCGGGUGAGGACAACCCGCCCGAUUUGGGCAAAGACCCCAUCUCCCAAAGAGAAUCAGAGAGGCAGUCUGGAAGCCGUUUAGAAUCUCCAGCCUCUUCCCUAGUAAUGAUGGACUUGGAUACAAGGAGGAAACCUACUGACCUCAAAGACACCAGCCUAGAUUCUGAGCAUUGAAUUCCUGCCUCCCCCUGAAAGGCCUCAUCUGAGUCACAUCGAAGCCCACACUCUUCUUCAACGUUCACCUUCCAGACACGUUCCAAAACAGCCCCUCAGAAUUGUCUUGAGAUGAAACAAAAGGUGAUGAAGCUCCAGGUUUGGAAUGCCGACCUCAUUCCCCCCUUCCUGAAAAGUCUACACCUGCUGGUUAGAGCUCUCACACCUGAGGGAGCUUGGCCUGUCAGAGUGCAUCCUCUGAGGCCUUUUCCUCCUUAGAGGAGAGCGCCCAGGAAUAAUAGGGAAUACAUGGCCUCCACUCUCACAUGAAUUGGUUGACUGAUGAACUGAUGUCUGAGAAGGAAAAAUAUGCAGGAAACAGCCUGUGUCUUGUGAAUCCCUAUUUCCCCAGCUAUGAUGCCUAUGCAAAUGGAGGGAGAAUCUCCAAAUAAUAUUGGGGGACAGACACUGCCUAAUACAAUUAAGUAAAUUUAAGGUAACUUGAAGGGGAAUUUAUCAUAUGUCAUAUACAAAAUUUUAGUUAGAGAACUUUAUUUAAAAAUAGUCACAAUUUGUAAGGGCAUUAAAAUAUAAUUUUAAUAGGAAGCUAUGAAAAUUAUCUGCACUUGCUAUGUAAAUGAUUGAGUUUGGGGUAACUAUCCAAAGGCCAUGAGCUUGAAAUGAUAUCUGCUACUUAAUUUCAUAAGACAUUUACUUGCAAAUGGUUGCCAUUUUUGCCCUCGUUAUAUGAAAAUAUUUUCUUGUGAAGAGCGUUUUUAUGAACAAAAAUAGUAGACAUUUUGCCAAUUUUGAUUAUUAAAACAAUAAAAUUGUCUGGUUAGUUUGUUAUUCUUAACCAAAAGCUCCUACAGAUAGCACAGAGUACUCAUGCUUUGUUUUUUUUUUCACCUUAGGUCAAUUGCCUUUAAUUUUAUUCAUCAAACUGUAUUUACUGUAGAUAGACACUGCAGUUGUCAUGUGACCUAUGGAUUUGUACUUUGUUAGAAAUAUGGAUUCUCAGGCUGAGUAUGGUGGCUCACACCUGUAAUCCCAGCACUUUGGGAGUCUGAAGCAGGUGGAUCACCUGAGGUCAGAAGUUCAAGACCAGCCUGGCCAACAUGGUGAAACCCCACCUCUCUAUUAUUUACAGUUCAGAUUGUACCUUGCAAUGAAUAUACAUGCUAUCCAAAAAGCCUAAGAAAUAAUGAAAUUGGGGGAGAAUGGCUGGAAGCACAGAUGAAACAAAAAUGACACAUGACUAGUAGCUGUUAAAGCUGGGUGACUGGUCUGUUAUACUUUUUUUGUAUUUUGUAUAUGUUUUUAAUGUUCUGUAAUAAAACACUUGUACAAAAUGACAAAGUUUUUCUACACUUAGCUCUUAAGAUCUUGGUUAUGUUUGGGAAAAAGAAAGUGUCAGGGACAUGAACAAGUCUGAUUCUUAGAUACACAGGCAUAUUUAUUUUGUAAUAAUUCAUCAAGCAUUCCAUAAAUGUUUUGUGCCUAUAUUGCUGUAUGCAUGUUAUACAUCAAUAAAAAUUUAAAUAGUACAUAUUUGCAUAAUAAUCCCAAAUUAACAUUUUAGAAUAAUAGCAAUGGUUUGUUUUGUUUUAAAGUGGGGCGUGUUCGCUCAGGACAUCAUCAGGUGUAUAUUAAUGUUACAAGUUAUUUAUUUGUGUUUUAACUUUUGGGUGAGCCCCCCCUAGGUCUUUUAAUUUUUACCUCAACACAGUAAGUAACAUGGUUUUAACUUUUUGGAAUAGAGCUUUGUUUUCAGCAAGGUGCACCCCCAAGAAUGAUGCUCACUCAGGCCAGGGCACACCAUGCAGUGAUCCAUGCACAGGAUGCCCUGAGCACACACGGAACUGGGUGAAUUAGGAAUGGAGUGAGCAGCAGAGCCUGGGUCUGCAAAGUAUGGUUAGUAGGAAAAACAGAUAAGAUUGAAAAGUCACAAUUUAGCAGCAAACGUUUUUACAUUCAUUUGAGAAAUCAUUUCUAACAAAAGCUGCUGGUUAAAGCCAUGGUUUUGUGGCUUGCCUACACACUGGAAUCACCUGGAGAACUUUAAACCAUAUUGUUUUGCAGAUCCAACUCCAAGGAUGCUGAUUUAAUUGAUCAAUUACAACUUGUGUUUAAGGGAUUUUGAAAGUUUUCCUCCCUGCAGGUGAUUCUCUUGCACCAGGGUGAAGAAGCACUGGAUACGGGUGAGGGAUGAUUUAGCUGCGAGGGAUUUCCAUGUACGCUUCAGGAUUUGCCCCAUUGCAAAUCUGGAGAUUGGAGUCUUAGAAAACAUACUUGCCCUGUUAAAAAUUAAAGGGAUGGCUUCAAGACAUACUUAGUUGUUUGGCUACAUUAUAGGAAAAGAAACCACCUUUCCAAAGAUCAGUUUUUUGAGAUAGGAUUUUGCUCUGUCAGUCAGGCUGAAGUGCAGUGGUGUGAUCAUGGCUCACUGCAGCCGUGAUCUCCCAGGCUCAAGUGAUCCUCCAGCUUCAGCCUUCUGAGUAGCUGGGACUGAAGGCAUGCACUACCAGGCCUGACUAAUUUUAAAAUUUUUUUUUUUGUAGAGAUGGGGUCUUGCUUUGUUGCCAAGGUUGGUUUCAAACUCCUGGCCUCAAGUGAUCCUCCCACCUCAGUCUCCCUAAUAGCUCAAACUACAGGCACAGGCAAGCAUGCCUGGUGUCUUUAUUAAAAUAUAGCUACUGGAAAAUUUAAAAUUCACGUGUGCCUCACAUAUUGUUUCUUAGAGAAUUGGCUCCUUUUGAAAUCUCAGGCUGCCUGCUCUAAAGCCUAGAUGCCAGGAAAGUAAAAAAUCUGAAAUUUAGAAAUAAUUGUCAUUAUAUUUCUUCCAUAUAUGAAUAACACAUAUAUGUUAUUCAUAAAUAAAAAUAACCUUACAUACAAAUGUAAAUGCAAAACUUUUACAGGCAGGACCAGUUUCCAGUGCAUGGAGGAAGCCCUGCCAGAAAACAAUCCAGGAAAAACCUAUAAUUCUUGCUUUAUUCAACCCAGUGUCAAAUCACUUAUGUCACUCAUGGCGUGAGAGGAUGGUGUGGGUAACUGAACUAUAUCCAAUCAUGGGUGCUGGAGUGGAAACUAUCUAAUCAGGUGCACAGCUGAAGAAGAGGGGGUAGCUUUUUGGAUCUAGGGGGGCCUUUGUCCAUCGCUCCAGCCAGAGCUCAGGGCACUAGAGCCACCUCAACCUAAUUGCCUGUUUUUUAGUUAUUUUAACACUCCAAAAGUGAACUCGUUUUCUCAUGCAUUUUCCAAAUGUGUCAAAAGAAGAGCCUCAAAUCUACUACCCUGUUGCCCCAGCCUAACUCUGGCUUGCAGUCAGAUUUUAGAUGUCCAGUUCUUUCCUGACACUCACCAACACUAACUAACCUUGUAUAACUCACAAUAUUAUCAACGGUUCUUUAUUGUACAUUUCAGACACAGUAUUUUAAUUCUUCAUUUUUUCAAAAAGGAGUGGAUGGCACUUUUUACAAAAAGAUUUUUCAUUUGUAAACAUUUUACAGGAGAUGAGAGCAGAGAAUGAUCCCCUGACACUC